RNAcentral lists this unclassified non-coding RNA (322 nucleotides) under Rhizophlyctis rosea. RNAcentral's name for it is "sequence contains 5.8S rRNA gene". Lineage: Eukaryota; Fungi; Chytridiomycota; Chytridiomycetes; Rhizophlyctidales; Rhizophlyctidaceae. The record is from RNAcentral.
GAACGCACAUUGCGCUCUUUGGUAUUCCGGAGAGCAUGCCUGUUUGAGAAUCAGUAAUCUCAUCAACUGCUUAAUUGCGGUCGGAUAUGGGUCUUUUGAGGCUUCACAGUCCCAAUGACCUGAAAUCAAAUGUUACGCUUCCUUGAACCACCAGUUCUCGGGCAUACGCAUGAAUGGGGCAACUCACACGUACGUUUGUUCUCACGAACUGUCGGUUGUACCGGAGUCUGUAACUCAACCAUUACCCAGAGAAGGUUGACACCAGUCGACUUUCCCUGAACACUUGGUCUCAAAUCAGGUAGGAAAACCCGCUGAACUUAAG